Molecule: small nuclear RNA, 139 nt
Organism: Cavia porcellus (domestic guinea pig)
Lineage: Eukaryota; Metazoa; Chordata; Mammalia; Rodentia; Caviidae
Gene: U4
Rfam family: U4 spliceosomal RNA
About the family: U4 small nuclear RNA (U4 snRNA) is a component of the major U2-dependent spliceosome.
Source: Ensembl
AGCUUUGCAUAGUGGCAUAUCAUAGCCAAUGAGGUUUAUCUGAGGCAUUAUUAUUGCUAACAGAAUUACAGCUGACUUCUCAGCACAAACUCUCAAGUCAAGAAGAGCUUGGAGCGAAGUAUUUCAAGUUCUAAAGGAA